UCAGCCAAAGAGAAAGGAAGAGAAAAAAAUUCAUCCAAAGUGAGAAAAGAGUGUUUCGAUCGAAAUUGACGGAACGACACCGCUAGUUCGCGAAGUUCGUUCUUCAUUUCUAAGGAUCGAUUAACGACUGAAGUCGGAAAGCGCCAAGUGAGACGAAUGACGCAUUGUUAGCGAAACCUUUGAAGCUCGGGUAAGGCACCAGCUCCCUAAAACUUGUUGCUGGGCAUGCAUAGAGGAUGUAGUAGUGGAGUGUGGGCAAGUGGGUUAUGGAUGCAUCACGUGUUUUAGAAACGCUGUUGAACUUUAUGUGUAAAAAGUAAAUAGUGUUUUAUGAAAAUAAAUGAGUUAUGUAAUGAAAGUUAAGCUUACGAGACGGUGAGGCUAUGCAUAGCAACCUCCAGUCACAAGGUAAACGCGACAAGGACUUGAGGUGCCGAGAAGAAGUUCAUGC
This is a long non-coding RNA of Morus notabilis, 451 nucleotides long. RefSeq lists it as uncharacterized. The transcript is spliced from 4 exons. The record is from RefSeq and is a predicted model, not a curated record. NCBI's taxonomy places the organism in Eukaryota, Viridiplantae, Streptophyta, Magnoliopsida, Rosales, Moraceae.